AUUGAACGCUGGCGGCAUGCCUAACACAUGCAAGUCGAACGGAAGAACGGAGCUUUCUCCUGGAUUCAGCGGGGCGCGCGUGUGUGAAGCACAGGAAUAUGCCUGCUAGUGGGGGGGAACGUCCGGAAAAGGCCGCUAAUACCGCAUACGACCUGAGCGAGAAACAGGGGGGUCUUUGGACCUCACGCGCUCUGAUGAGCGUAGGUCGGAUUAGCUAGUUGGUGGGGUAAAGGCCUACCAAGGCGACGAUCCGUAACUGGUCUGAGAGGAUGAUCAGUCACACUGGAACUGGGACACGGUCCAGACUCCUACGGGAGGCAGCAGUGGGGAAUGUUGGACAAUGGGCGAAAGCCUGAUCCAGCCAUGCCGCGUGUGUGAAGAAGGUCUUCGGAUUGUAAAGCACUUUUAGUUGGGAGGAAGGGCUGUAAGUUAAUACGUUGCGGUAUUGACGGUACCGGCAGAAUAAGCACCGGCUAACUACGUG
This 484-nucleotide ribosomal RNA is filed under the name uncultured bacterium. RNAcentral's name for it is "partial 16S ribosomal RNA". It matches the Rfam family "Bacterial small subunit ribosomal RNA", at positions 30 to 507 of the family's 1533-position model. The record is from RNAcentral.